This 415-nucleotide ribosomal RNA is filed under the name uncultured microorganism. RNAcentral describes it as "bacterial SSU rRNA". It matches the Rfam family "Bacterial small subunit ribosomal RNA", at positions 9 to 420 of the family's 1533-position model. The record is from RNAcentral.
GAGUUUGAUCGUGGCUCAGAUUGAACGCUGGCGGCAUGCCUUACACAUGCAAGUCGAACGGCAGCAUGAUCUAGCUUGCUAGAUUGAUGGCGAGUGGCGAACGGGUGAGUAAUACAUCGGAACGUGCCCUGUAGUGGGGGAUAACUAGUCGAAAGAUUAGCUAAUACCGCAUACGACCUGAGGGUGGAAGUGGGGGACCGCAAGGCCUCAUGCUAUAGGAGCGGCCGAUGUCUGAUUAGCUAGUUGGUGGGGUAAAGGCCCACCAAGGCGACGAUCAGUAGCUGGUCUGAGAGGACGAUCAGCCACACUGGGACUGAGACACGGCCCAGACUCCUACGGGAGGCAGCAGUGGGGAAUUUUGGACAAUGGGCGAAAGCCUGAUCCAGCAAUGCCGCGUGUGUGAAGAAGGCCUCGG